GACGAACGCUGGCGGCGUGCUUAACACAUGCAAGUCGAACGGUGAAGCGCCUUCCUUUUUGGUGGGUGUGGAUGAGUGGCGAACGGGUGAGUAACACGUGAGUAACCUGCCCCCUUCUUCUGGAUAACCGCAUGAAAGUGUGGCUAAUACGGGAUAUUCUGGGUCUGUCGCAUGAUGGGUCUGGGAAAGAUAUUGUUUCGGUGGGGGAUGGGCUCGCGGCCUAUCAGCUUGUUGGUGGGGUGAUGGCCUACCAAGGCGGUGACGGGUAGCCGGCCUGAGAGGGUGGACGGUCACACUGGGACUGAGACACGGCCCAGACUACUACGGGAGGCAGCAGGGGGGAAUAUUGCACAAUGGGCGCAAGCCUGAUGCAGCGACGCCGCGUGAGGGAUGGAGGCCUUCGGGUUGUGAACAUCUUUCGCCAGUGAAGCAGGCCUGCCUCGUUUGUGGGUGGGUUGACGGUAGCUGGAGAAGAAGCGCCGGCUAACUACGUG
Molecule: ribosomal RNA, 494 nt
Filed under: uncultured bacterium
Lineage: Bacteria
Description: partial 16S ribosomal RNA
Rfam family: Bacterial small subunit ribosomal RNA
Source: RNAcentral